RNAcentral lists this long non-coding RNA (1045 nucleotides) under Marmota monax (woodchuck). Lineage: Eukaryota; Metazoa; Chordata; Mammalia; Rodentia; Sciuridae. The record is from RNAcentral.
CUUUUCCUCUGUUUGUUCCAGCUUUUAAGAUAUGUGAUAGAUAGAUAGAUAGAUAGAUAGAUAGAUAGAUAGAUAGAUAAUAGAUAUUGUUACAUGAUAGACACAGUUAGGCUAGUAGAGAUUAUAACUAGAUGAUAGGGAUCUAGAUAGAUAAGUAAAUGGACAGGUAAAUGAUAGAUAUAGGUAGAUGUAGAUAGUAUUAGUCAGAUUUUUGUUACUAUAACAAAUAACCUGAACUAACCAAUGUAUAAAGAGAAAAGGUUCAUCUUGGCUUAUAGUUUUGGGGAUUUCAGUCCCUAAUCAGUUGGCCCCAUUGUUGUUAGUCCUGUAAUAAGGCAAGCAUAUUUUGGCAGGAACAUGUGACUGAGCAAAACCACUCACUCACCCCAUGGUCAGAGAUCAAAGAGGGAGGGGAAGGGGCUGGGGGUCCCCAAUUCCUUCAAGGGCACAUCGUAGUAACCUGAAGACCUCCCACUAGGCCCCAUCUCCUAAAUGUUCCAUGCCCUUCCAGUGGCACCACACCAAGACCAAGCCUUUAGCACACAGGUCUUUCAGGGAUACUUAUCCAACAUUAGCCGUUGGAUAGAUGAUAGACAGACAGACAGACAGAAUGCAAAGCUUUAGAAAGCAUUUGGGGAGCUGGUCAUUGACGCUCAACUCACUGACACGAUCCAGAAGCCUUGGGCUGGCCUCGGCUUUGGCUUCCGACUGGCUCACCUGCUGGGUGGGUUCUCAGGGCCGACCUGGCCAGAGCCGGCCAAGCUGCCCACCUGGGGUACCAUUCCCGGCAGGUUCUGGAAGACACGGGGAGACCUGCACCCUCCCCUGCCCUCUGCCCUCUGCCCUCCGGUGACUCAUCUUUUUCAGAGCGCCUGUCUGUGAGGGGGCCUCCUGGGUGCUCGGGUGGGGGGUCAUCUCAGUACCAGCAAGACUCGCAGCCACGUGUCACCCUGCGCCUGGGACCACACCCAGAGGAAGGCAUCAGAGGCGUCUGCAGGGCCACUCCCCAAGGAGUCAUGGGUGUCACUUGGCGCCUGGUGGGAGC